This 249-nucleotide ribosomal RNA is filed under the name uncultured prokaryote. RNAcentral describes it as "partial 16S rRNA". It matches the Rfam family "Bacterial small subunit ribosomal RNA", at positions 525 to 775 of the family's 1533-position model. The record is from RNAcentral.
ACGUAGGGGGCAAGCGUUAUCCGGAAUUAUUGGCGGUAAGGGGUGAUAAGGGGGUUUUUAAAGCGGGGGGGAAAGGCAAUAGCUUAACUAUUUUAAGCCUUGCGAACUGGAAGACUUGAGUGCAGGAGAGGAAAGUGGAAUUCCUAGUGUAGCGGUGAAAUGCGUAGAUAUUAGGAGGAACACCAGUGGCGAAGGCGACUUUCUGGACUGUAACUGACACUGAGGCACGAAAGUGUGGGGAGCAAACAG